UGCGCAUGUGCUGCCAACAAAAAGGCGUCAGCAACACACACACAAGUCACAGCUGAAAACCAUGCAAACCAUUCCCGUGGCGCACAAACAUAGACAACGUUUAGUCUGAUGUACACAUUUAUUAACAAAGGUCGUGGACGGUAGGAAGAACAAAAGCAGAAAUAUUAAAUAAAAUUACCAAGGUAAAUGUGAUUUUAAUUACAGAAAGAAAUUUGAUAUGCUGCAGUAAUUGCUUCCGAAUCGAAUAGGCCGAACAUAUAAUGUAAAACGUCCUGAAAUUUGGGAACUUUAAAAAUUGAAAUGCGAUCUACAAUUUAUGCAGCGAUGGAAUAUUUCAACGCAAAGGAUUU
Long non-coding RNA from Stomoxys calcitrans (stable fly), 350 nucleotides. RefSeq lists it as uncharacterized. The record is from RefSeq and is a predicted model, not a curated record. The transcript has 3 exons. NCBI's taxonomy places the organism in Eukaryota, Metazoa, Arthropoda, Insecta, Diptera, Muscidae.